GGCGAACGCUGGCGGCGUGCUUAACACAUGCAAGUCGAACGAUGAAGUUCCUUCGGGAAUGGAUUAGUGGCGAACGGGUGAGGAACACGUGAGAAACCUGCCCAUCAUUCUGGGAUAACACCGGGAAACCGGUGCUAAUACCGGAUACUCCAUCGCGGCGGCAUCGCUGCGCUGGGAAAGAAUUUCGAUGAUGGAUGGUCUAGCGGCCUAUCAGCUUGUUGGUGGGGUAAUGGCUCACCAAGGCGACGACGGGUAGCCGGCCUGAGAGGGCGACCGGCCACACUGGGACUGAGACACGGCCCAGACUCCUACGGGAGGCAGCAGUGGGGAAUAUUGGGCAAUGGACGCAAGUCUGACCCAGCGACGCCGCGUGAGGGAUGAAGGCCUUCGGGUUGUAAACCUCUUUCAGUGGGGAAGAAGCGAAAGUGACGGUACCCAAAGAAGAAGCACCGGCUAACUAUGUGCCAGCCGCCGCGGUAA
This 480-nucleotide ribosomal RNA is filed under the name uncultured bacterium. RNAcentral's name for it is "partial 16S ribosomal RNA". It matches the Rfam family "Bacterial small subunit ribosomal RNA", at positions 28 to 523 of the family's 1533-position model. The record is from RNAcentral.